Molecule: small nucleolar RNA, 170 nt
Filed under: Prunus dulcis (almond)
Lineage: Eukaryota; Viridiplantae; Streptophyta; Magnoliopsida; Rosales; Rosaceae
Description: sRNA ncRNA
Source: RNAcentral
GAGUGAGUAUGAGAUUGAAAGAGAUGAUGAGAGGGGAGGAUGGAAGAGAGGAGUAACAAAAGUGAAAACAAUUUGAAAUAGAUUUCAGUUUUUAGUUUUUGUUUUUAGUUUUGUUACUCCUCCUUCCCAUCCUCCCCUCUUAUCUUUCAUCUUAAUCUCAUCUCCACUCU